RNAcentral lists this non-coding RNA (79 nucleotides) under Cupriavidus taiwanensis. The record is from RNAcentral. Lineage: Bacteria; Pseudomonadati; Pseudomonadota; Betaproteobacteria; Burkholderiales; Burkholderiaceae.
CCGAGCCGUAUGCGGGGAAACUCGCACGUACGGUUCCUAGGGGGGGACAGGUCAGCAAUGACCUUCGUCCCUACCCUAC